GCCAUUUUUAGAGCGUGAGGUGCCCAGUGAUCCGACUGACGAGUCCCGGCGUAGUGCGACUCCAGCCGCUCAGGGUUCUGCGACGUACAUUAACCACAGCCGCACUUUGGCCGUCACCACCCAACACACCGACGAUGUCCUCAUGAAACUCGACCUGGUGGGGAUAACUGAAAAGAAAAUAAGAGUCACAAGUGGUCCCAAGGCUUCCAGUUUCUGAUUCCAUCAAGAGAUCUGCGCUGUCCCACAUGGCAGCCACUAGCCACAGCCACGUGAAAUGUGGCUAGUCCGAAUUGAGUUGUGCUGUGAAACACACAUGGUAUUUUGAAGACCUAGCAUAAAAAAAUAUGUAUUGAUUACAUGUUGAAAUGAUAAUGUGUUUUGAUAUAUUGGUUUAAAUAAAAAUGCCUUAUUAAAA
Long non-coding RNA from Lagenorhynchus albirostris (white-beaked dolphin), 415 nucleotides. RefSeq lists it as uncharacterized. The record is from RefSeq and is a predicted model, not a curated record. NCBI's taxonomy places the organism in Eukaryota, Metazoa, Chordata, Mammalia, Artiodactyla, Delphinidae. The transcript has 4 exons.